Molecule: long non-coding RNA, 289 nt
Filed under: Linum usitatissimum (flax)
Lineage: Eukaryota; Viridiplantae; Streptophyta; Magnoliopsida; Malpighiales; Linaceae
Description: long non-coding RNA (LUSI_LNC003851)
Source: RNAcentral
AUUGGGUGGAGCUUGGAGUCAAGAUUGUGGAUCAAAGAAGCAUCAUGCUCAAGCUUUCUACCUAGAUGUCAAGAUAGGUAUUUGUAACCUCUCUUUCUCCUUUGAGUUUUGCCAUGGUAGGCUAGUUUAUGUUGUUGCUAGGUUAGAAAUGAUGUUGUCGUAAGGAUGUCCUCUAAUGAUGAGGGGUUGGAUACACUUGGAUGCUGAUUAUGAUAAUGAUGUGCUUGGAUUAUGGUGUUUUCAACCUAGUUUGUGCCAUGGCUUGAAUUAGGUCAAAUCAAUACUCUCU